AUGCUACCGCGCUGCUGCUGGUUUCACAGUCCGGGCGGGACCAUCUUCUUCAUCAUCCGCGUCGUCGUCGUCGUCUCUCUAGUAGCACUCGGGGGCUCGGCAUCGACAUGCCCCCGGAAUGGCCGUGAGGGGCGGCACGUCCUCGCUGUCAGCCUUUCCUUCUUCACCACCACCGCAACGCCAGCCGUCUGUCCACGUGUGUCACGCGCGGGGCCUUGCUUCGGUCGGCCGCAUCCGUCCACGUGCUGCUCGCGUCUGUUUCCCUCCGCGUCGUGCCUUGCUCCGGAUGAAACGCGCGUUCGCUACUCCAAAUAUCAUCUAGACAAGCUAGCUAGGCACAGGUCCAGCAAUGGUCAAACCAUUGGCCAUACAUACAUGCCCGAGAUAUGCCUCGUACACUUCCCACACAUUGCUUGUUCAAUAGCCAGAUACUCCUUGUACAUUUCCCAUACUCGAGACAGACAUCAUCCCCAUCGCUUCGCCCAGCGCUCUGUCCGCUGCUCUGCCUCCAGCUCGUCUCCUAGUACGGCCGUGCCACCGAGCUCCCUUGCCCGGGCCGCGCAGCGUCCGUGCCUCUGCGCCCCUCUCGCAUGCCCGCGACCCCUGUCGCCAACUCCCUCACCAAAGCGCCGGCUGCUGCCCCACGCUACUCUCGUACGGUGCGAGCUGCGCCCACCCAGUUGGGCUCCUCCUCCUCGGGUGCUGCUGCACUACUCCGAGCCGGCUGUACCGCCCCUAGCGCCGGCUCCGCCUAGCCUCGUCCGGCUCCUGCGCUCCACCAUGCCCGCGGGCCGCGCUCCUGGCCGCCUGCAACGCCGUCGCCGCCUAGCGCCUCCCUACGUCACGCGGGGAUGCCUCCUUGCGUUGCGCGCCUCCUCAGCAUCGCCCGAGCUGUUGCCGAUCGCGUUCGUCUCGCCUCUGCCGGCAUUCAUCCGUGCCCCAAGCUCGGCCUCCCGUCGCCGGUGCCGCUUGGCUCCGCUUCUGGCCAAUCCGCGCCGGCUCCUCCCCGCCGGGUGCUCCGCGUCGAGUUCUCUGCGCCGGCUCCGGCUUCCCGCAAUCCGGCCGGCCAGCGCGCGACGGCUUCCCCCGCAUCCCGGACUCCUCCGUCCGUGUCAAGGCCGACUCCCGCGCACCUCUAAAUCACACCGAAGACCGUGCGCGCCUCUCCAUCGCCGCGUCUGA
This 1182-nucleotide ribosomal RNA is filed under the name Triticum aestivum (bread wheat). RNAcentral's name for it is "partial small subunit ribosomal RNA". Lineage: Eukaryota; Viridiplantae; Streptophyta; Magnoliopsida; Poales; Poaceae. The record is from RNAcentral.